UCUAAUGCUUCUCUCUCCCUACCCUC
This 26-nucleotide non-coding RNA is filed under the name Rattus norvegicus (Norway rat). The record is from RNAcentral. Lineage: Eukaryota; Metazoa; Chordata; Mammalia; Rodentia; Muridae.